RNAcentral lists this non-coding RNA (2310 nucleotides) under Pan troglodytes (chimpanzee). Lineage: Eukaryota; Metazoa; Chordata; Mammalia; Primates; Hominidae. The record is from RNAcentral.
CCGGGAGCCCGGCAUCGUGCGCAGCGCUUUGAGGACUUCCUAAAGCCAGUCCAGGAGCACAGUUUUUACCUGUUCAGUGGCACAUAUCUGUGAUUGAAACUCUUGUUUUUGCAUCUUUAACCACUGAAGGAAGAAUGCAGCAGACUGCUCGACAAACACUGCGCCAAGAGCUCCUCAGCAGAAGCUCCUCGCAUCAGAUCCUCUGUGCUGGGAAUCCUCCCCUCUUGAGCACACUCUGUGCUCCUCUUCCAGUUACGGUGCAUGUGAAGCAAUGGUAUGGGAAAAUUGUUUGCAGAAGGAUGAAAAGGCUUUAUUCCCAAACUGUAAGUACAUGAUUUGAAAUGUUUAUGGUCAAGAGAAAAUAUUUCUACAGCAUCAUGUAAAGCAUGUAGAUACAUUUGCACAUGUGCAUUAACAUGUAAGAACGUGUGCCUCAGACACAUGUGCCCUCCUGGGACAGCUCAUGCUGGCCCCAUGCCUGCUUCCAAGCUUCCAUCAAGUCAGGGAGUGGAGCAAAGAGGGAAGGCAGCCCCUGUACUGUAGGGACCCUUAUGCACAGAGGCAUUGAGACUGCCUGUUCCUCUUGGAAGCUUCUGCUCUCAAGAGGCAGCUAGGUUUUUGGAGCUUCUCUGCUUCAUGUCUUGCUUCCCACCCUAGGGUUCCAGAUUCUGUUCUUCCCUAGUAUUGGCAAGGUUUUUUAUAGAUAGCUCUUGGAUAUAUUUGGAAGUAAUGUUUACAAAUGGUGAGAGAGAAGGCAUCUGACAUUCUUUUCUAAACACAUGCCAAUAUUUGUCUUUUCCCCACUAAUUUCAAUAAUUUGGCCUAACACUUUUGUCACAUAUUCUGACUCUUUAUUCUGAUCCAUUUAUCUACUCUGGCAUCCCCACAUGGUUUUAAGUACUGGAGCUUUACUGUAUGUCUUGGUAUCAGGCCAAGCAAACCUUGUUAGUCUUAUUUAAAACUUUCUCAGCAAUUGGUGCAUAUUUUUUUAUCCUGAUGAAUUUUAGAACUUACCAGUACCAGUACUGACAUCUUCACAGCAUUGUAUCCUGUCAACAACCUAGUCUGAACCUCAGUGGUUCAGGUUUCCUUUGCACAUACAGGCCCUGAGAACUCAUAUGUUAAUGACAAAGACAUUCCGGGAAACCAGGAGGUGAGGAGACCAAGGAUUAGGCUCCACUCCUAUUAUGAAGAUGAACAGUUUUUAGAGUAUCAUGGAGUUGGAGAAGGUACUUCAAGGAUCUCUAUGGGGAACAAGAAGGAACAGCAAAGUUCCAUCAUCCUAUGCCCUUUCUGUUCAGGUUUAUUGUUGUGAAUGAGAAUUUUUUUUUUUUAACAUGUUGUGGAUCUAUCUAUCUGAUCACCUUAUUGAACUGAGAAUGGUUCUAUGGACUUGACUUUUCUUGGACUGACAACUGUACUGUCUGGAAAUGACAGUUUCUCCUUCCUUUCAGUAUUUGUGCCUGUCUAUCCCACAUCCCUGUACUGGUCAGGAUUUCCAGGACAAUAGUGAAUAACAGUCGGGACAACAGGCUGGUUCUGAUUCCACUGUUCCUAACAUUCUACCAAGAAGCAUGUUUUUUUUCUAUUUUGGUAGUUUUAUGUUAGGUAGCCUUAUCAAGUUAGGACUUUUUUUUUUUUUUUUUACCCAAGCUAAAGAAAGUACCCAAAAUAAAGAAAUUUUAUCAGGAACAGGUAUAAAUUUUAAGAAACGUAUUUCAACGCCUGCUAAAAUUACCACUUAUUUUUCUAUUAUGGCAACAAAUUACAUUAAUAGAUUUUCACUGUUAUUGUUUAUCCUGGGAGAAAGCAUACUUGUGAACUUUUUUAGGUACUGUGCUUUGGAACCAAAUUUGGAAGUGAGAUGAAAUGUCAGCUGUACUCUCCUGGUUAGGUAUGAUUUCAGGGUCAGGUAUGCCUGAUAAAUGAGGUGAGAUGCUUGUAACUUUGUUCUAGAAUAGUUUCUACUGCAUGGGAAUGAUCUGUUCCUUGAGGAUUUGUCACAGUCUGCCCACAGUGGACUGGAUUUGGCAUGUAGGAUGUUAAUUUCUAUUUACUUUGCAAGAAAAAUACAGUUUAGCAAGCAACAGAAACAUACUGAACAUGAACCUCACCGUCCCUCUCUCAGCUGUAGCUCCUUCUGCGUCUGCAACCUGGCUUGUUCCCACGACAAAGGAACAUCAUAUUUUUUCAAAUCGUUUUUAAAGAAAUACACACAUAUCUGACCAUCUUCACUCAGCGCCUCUGAGAAAACAGUACAAAAACAGAUAAAGAGGCCAGCCUGGCCAACCCUGUCUCAAAAAAAAAAAA